AACGGUCUAUACCUGCGGUACCUGCGGAGGGAUCAUUAACAUAUACAUCUAUACGUAUGAUAUGUGAUGGACCCCUCUGUGCGUCGUGAUUACUGAAAAAAUAAAGGUAAAUCUCCGGGGGGAAGAUGUAAGAAGGAGAGAUCGGGUGAGUGUGACCUCUCCGACCCUUUCCUCCUCUUCCCCAGGAGAAUACCUUUUAGACAUACGUUUCUCCUGCAAGUAAAAAUGAUCAAUGAUAAU
Molecule: unclassified non-coding RNA, 240 nt
Filed under: soil metagenome
Description: partial contains 5.8S ribosomal RNA, internal transcribed spacer 2, and large subunit ribosomal RNA
Source: RNAcentral